RNAcentral lists this microRNA precursor (77 nucleotides) under Ascaris suum (pig roundworm). Its description in RNAcentral is "microRNA asu-mir-993 precursor". Its record names the gene asu-mir-993. The record is from miRBase by way of RNAcentral. Lineage: Eukaryota; Metazoa; Nematoda; Chromadorea; Rhabditida; Ascarididae.
CGGAUGGUUUACCCUGUAGAAGCGUGUUUAUCUGCACAUUUCAAAAUAAGCUCGUCUCUACAGGCAGGACCUUCCAG